Molecule: ribosomal RNA, 172 nt
Filed under: Acaena ovalifolia
Lineage: Eukaryota; Viridiplantae; Streptophyta; Magnoliopsida; Rosales; Rosaceae
Description: 5.8S ribosomal RNA
Rfam family: 5.8S ribosomal RNA
About the family: 5.8S ribosomal RNA (5.8S rRNA) is a component of the large subunit of the eukaryotic ribosome. It is transcribed by RNA polymerase I as part of the 45S precursor that also contains 18S and 28S rRNA.
Source: RNAcentral
UAAACGACUCUUGGCAAUGGAUAUCUCGGCUCUCACAUCGAUGAAGAACGUAGCGAAAUGCGAUAUUCGGUGUGAAUUACAGAAUCCUGGAAUCCUGGGAACCAUCGAGUCUUUGAACGCAAGUUGCGUUUGAAGCCAUUAGGCCGAGGGCACGUCUGCCUGGGCAUCACAC